Long non-coding RNA from Lepidothrix coronata (blue-crowned manakin), 519 nucleotides. RefSeq lists it as uncharacterized. Lineage: Eukaryota; Metazoa; Chordata; Aves; Passeriformes; Pipridae. The transcript has 3 exons. The record is from RefSeq and is a predicted model, not a curated record.
UUAAGACUGGUCUGAAGAAUGUAUGGACAGAAAUGACUAUCAGUAAAAGCAACAGGAAGGGCAAUAGAGCAAAGUUAAGAAAAAACCUGAAACAUUUUGAUAACCAUGGACACAUUGACAACAAACAAACAGGGAAGAUGACUGUAGCCAUAAAGACACCCACAGCAGGCAAACCCAGGAAACAGCCCGCAAUCUAAGAUCCAUCUAGGCUUAGCAGCAAGAUACAAAGAUGACUACCAAUGGCAACUGGCGGUGGCAAGCACUGCUUGAGGAGCAUUUCAGAACUUCUUACACCCUACCAGAAGAGCAAAAGUCUGCCCAGAAGUAUAAAGAUUAAAAUGAACUGGGAACUAAUGUAAAACAGUAAUUCAGGUAACUUGGCUUUGGUUUCGCUCUAGAUUACUACAAGUACUGUAAUAAAUCACAAGACAGGUGUAAACUUCUGUUUUUAAUUGUCAUGUACAUACCAGUUCCUCCCAAACUCUGUUUCCCUUGCUCCCACUAAAACAACAGCAAGUU